AAGUCGUAACAAGGUCUCCGUAGGUGAACCUGCGGAGGGAUCAUUACUGAGUUUUUAACUCUCCAAACCAUGUGUACUUACCACUGUUGCCUCGGUGGUUGGUCUUCGGACUGACCACCGGUGGACUACUAAACUCUUGUUAAUUUUUGGCAUUCUGAAUCAUAACUAAGAAAUAAGUUAAAACUUUCAACAACGGAUCUCUUGGUUCUG
RNAcentral lists this unclassified non-coding RNA (210 nucleotides) under Microdochium sp. RNAcentral's name for it is "partial contains small subunit ribosomal RNA, internal transcribed spacer 1, and 5.8S ribosomal RNA". The stretch from base 1 to 46 matches the Rfam family "Eukaryotic small subunit ribosomal RNA", at positions 1786 to 1831 of the family's 1831-position model. RNAcentral also lists the same sequence under 1 other name. The record is from RNAcentral. Lineage: Eukaryota; Fungi; Ascomycota; Sordariomycetes; Xylariales; Microdochiaceae.